UGCAGUCGAGCGCUACCUUCGGGUGGAGCGGCGGACGGGUUAGUAACGCGUGGGAAUAUACCCUUCACUAUGGAAUAGCCUCGGGAAACUGAGAGUAAUACCAUAUACGCCCUUCGGGGGAAAGAUUUAUCGGUGAAGGAUUAGCCCGCGUAAGAUUAGAUAGUUGGUGGGGUAAUGGCCUACCAAGUCUACGAUCUUUAGCUGGUUUUAGAGGAUGAUCAGCAACACUGGGACUGAGACACGGCCCAGACUCCUACGGGAGGCAGCAGUGGGGAAUCUUAGACAAUGGGCGCAAGCCUGAUCUAGCCAUGCCGCGUGAGUGAUGAAGGUCUUAGGAUCGUAAAGCUCUUUCGCUAGGGAUGAUAAUGACAGUACCUAGUAAAGAAGCCCCGGCUAACUCCGUGCCAGCAGCCGCGGUAAUACGGAGGGGGCUAGCGUUGUUCGGAAUUACUGGGCGUAAAGCGUACGUAGGCGGAUCAGAAAGUAUGGGGUGAAAUCCCAGGGCUUAACCCUGGAACUGCCUCAUAAACUCCUGGUCUUGAGUUCGAGAGAGGUGAGUGGAAUUCCAAGUGUAGAGGUGAAAUUCGUAGAUAUUUGGAGGAACACCAGUGGCGAAGGCGGCUCACUGGCUCGAUACUGACGCUGAGGUACGAAAGUGUGGGGAGCAAACAGGAUUA
Molecule: ribosomal RNA, 677 nt
Filed under: uncultured bacterium
Lineage: Bacteria
Description: bacterial SSU rRNA
Rfam family: Bacterial small subunit ribosomal RNA
Source: RNAcentral